Molecule: non-coding RNA, 89 nt
Organism: Canis lupus familiaris (dog)
Lineage: Eukaryota; Metazoa; Chordata; Mammalia; Carnivora; Canidae
Source: Rfam
CGGGGGAGGCCGGAUCCUGGGCUGUGUCCCGGCGCCCUGUGCUCCGGAGACUGCGCUGUUGGAUUCGCGCUCCCGCCCCGCAGCCCCCU